Anguilla rostrata (American eel) is the source of this 728-nucleotide long non-coding RNA. RefSeq lists it as uncharacterized. The transcript is spliced from 3 exons. The record is from RefSeq and is a predicted model, not a curated record. Lineage: Eukaryota; Metazoa; Chordata; Actinopteri; Anguilliformes; Anguillidae.
AACCUAUCGUAAAGCUAGCUGGCAUUCAAAACCCGUUUCAGAGGGUCUUAGAAAGACGGGCUAAUUGUAUGGUAUAAAACAAGGGAACUAUUUUCUCUUGAUAGCAUCAUUGUUUUCAUAGAAUUAACGACCGGCGGUUUUUGCUUUGCAACGGUAAAGCCGCUACACUCUCAUUCGUGGGCUCUCAUUAUGUUCCACUCGGGAGCGGCUGAGUCACGUGCGACGCCUAGUGGUAAAAUUCGGUAUUACCGGUCCGGUCCGCUAUUUGGUUUAAUAGCAAACCGGUUUGAUCAUUUUUACAUCGGCCCAACCCUACAAGUAGCUAAUCCAGUGCUCCACACUCUUCCGUAUGAUCCUCUUGUUUUUGCUCCUUCACUCCUACCAGUCCUACCAAUCCUACGCUGAGGGCUGUGAUGUUCCAGUGGAAAAAGGCGAGUCUCCUCUUCAUCCACUACCAAUCACAGUCCUCUGCUUGGUCUUUCUGCAGAGCCCACAAGGAUGCAGAAGGCAGCUGUGAUGAACACAAUGCACCUAGUAAUCGUGUGCACCCCCAGCCUCUGUGAGCCUGGGCGCUUAAAAGGCGGUCUACGGAGGCAGACGAGGGCUUACUGGAGACGGAGGAAGUGCUGACUGAGAGUCUGUUGCCCAAAUUGUGUUUUGUAUGAAACCGAAAGCCGUGUGGCGGCCGUGAAAAUAAAAGACACAUCUGCGUCCUGAAAUAAAUCUCG